UUAACAAAUGUUAUCUCUGCAUUGAAUAAAAUGAUCAUGUAGCUUUUAUUCUUUAUUCCAUUAAGAAAGCAAAUUAACUGAUUUAUUUCUACAUUAAACUCAACUUCUCAUGCUUAUAAUAAAUCCCCCUUGCCUACUGCACAUGAUCGUUUUUAUCUGUAGUUCACAGAAUUUACUAGUAUUUUGUUGAAUAUUUUUACAUCUGUAAUCCUGAGGGAUAUGGAUACAUAGUUUUUUCCUUGGGUCUGGGAAAUAUUUUGAUUACAUUAGUUUCUUUUCUUCUUACAAAGUCUACAGUAACUACAGGAACUGUCGGAGGGGCCUGAUGAGAGAGCACCUGUUCUCCAAAUUCUUUCUACCUAGUUUCCUGAGGUAUGUACGCCCAGAGACACACCAAAUAUAUGGGCAGGAUUACUAGCUGGCCCUUAUCAAAAAUUCUGGGGCUUUCCUACCAUUGUCCUGGACUCUGAAAUUUCACAGGAGUUUUCCUGCCUCUCACCCUUUCUCCCUGAACCCAGGUAGCAUCUUGGCACCCUAAGGGCAGGAGAGAGAGAAUUAAAGAGCUGCUUGGACUUUUACCACCUGUAAGCUUUCUUCAGGCAGAAAGGUGAAAUUGAAUUGCCAGCUCGCUUACUUGGGAGUGAUGUGAGUUGCUUCAGAGCCUCCCCAUCUACUCGUAACUCCACACUUUGAAGGAAACCACGCCUGCUCACGCAGAAGUCAAACCAAGCCCCAGGAAAACAAGCACUACACAACAAAUUAAAUAAUCAGCAAGGUCACGUUAAGACUAAGAGGUUGUACUCGAUAAUCUCCUUCGAUUUUACAUUAUCUCACAGCACUCACCUGUGCCUUAAACAUGGCUGCAGCACUAACUGCCACUGAGAAGGAACCCCAGCUCUGCUUUUAUAUGGUCGUGACCUUAGGCAAAUCACUUAACCUGAAUUUUAAUUACAGAAAUGAAAAUGUUAUACAUAAGCAUUUUAGAGGACCUUCUUCAUGCUACAUAUGCCUUCUCACACUUUUCCUCUUAAAAGAGUUUACUCAGCCUUCAAAGUCAGCUCAGAUGUGAUCCUUGCCAAGUAUCCAUAAGUACUCAGCCUCGUUCCAGGCCUCAGUAGCCAGGUAUACAAUGGCAAUGCUGUCAUCACAUGUGUUGGGCUAUUUGUGAGACUGUAACAUCCACCCGAGGCUCUUCGCAUUACUCACCUUUGAAUUCUUGGUGCCUGGUUCAACUGUCACCCAGAGAAGUGCUGUGUGAAUGUUGAGUGAAUGACAGCCCAGGUGACAGGUCAGGCUGCUGAGUGGAAUAUGGACUCUACUAGACAGGAGGGGAACUGUACUAUUUGUGGACUACAAAGCUCUAUGGCUUUAGCUAAGCUAAAGUCCACUACUGUGGACUGGGCCUUACAGAAUAAUCAUGGUUUCCCCCAGCUUCCAUCCGUUAAUGCUACCUGCUUCUCUUCCCACCUAGGAGACUCUCAGUUGGACACUCAAUCUAACUUCAAGAAUGGCAAGGAAAUGCCACUCUGAGCUUAAAGGUAGGCACAGAAUUUCACGCCAGCCAAACAAAAGACUACAGAACAGACUGCCUCUGCUGGGUUCUAAGCCUAGCCCCCGGCAGGCACAUGGUCUCGUGGGUCAAGCCCCUGCUUGGGAUGCCCAUGUCCUGUACUGGAGCACGUGGUUCAAGUCUUAGCUCUUCCACUUCUGAUCCACCUUCCUGCUAAUGCACACCCUGGGAGGCAGCAGGUGAUGGCUCAAGUGCUUGGGUCCCUGCCACUGGUAUGGGAGACCUGGAGGGAGUCCCUGGCUUUAGCCUGGUUAAACCUUGGCUGUUAUGUGCAUCUGAGGAGUUAACCUGCAAAUGGAAGAUCUCCCUUUCAAGCAGAUGAAAACAGAUAAACAUUCAAAGAAAUUGCAACAGACAAGCCCUGGCCCUGGCCCUCAGCAGUCAUGAGACUGUGGACAAACUGCUCAGCUCCUAAAAAGAGCAACGGCUACUGCCCUCCUUGUGGCAGUUAUCACUUCCCUGAUUUCUUUGCCGCUCUGCUAGCAUGCAAACUCUCACCUUGGGAAGCAGUGGCACAUAGAGCAAAGCUCCAGGAACAGCAGCGCCCCAUGUGCUACCAUGUUCCUUCUCCUCCUCUGCCCAUUCAACACAAAGUUGGAAAAGUAGCCCGGGGAAGGGCCACCUGGUCAACUUUGGUUAGAAGACAGCCAGCACAGGAUGAAAAGAUCUGCUAAACUGCUUUGCAAGCAGUUUUCUCCCAUUUUCCAAGAUUCCUCUACAACAUCCUCAGAUCUCGUCGUCAUCCAGAACUUGAAAGUGCUAUGAGUACUGACUGCCCUAAAAAUACAGAAUAAAGAAGUCUAA
Oryctolagus cuniculus (rabbit) is the source of this 2374-nucleotide non-coding RNA. Lineage: Eukaryota; Metazoa; Chordata; Mammalia; Lagomorpha; Leporidae. The record is from RefSeq and is a predicted model, not a curated record.